GUGCUUGCCUCAGCAGCACAUAUACUAAAAUUGGAAUGAGACAGAGAUGAUUAGCAUGGCCCCCGUGCAAGAAUGACAGGCAAAUUCAUGAAGCAUUCCAUAUUUUU
RNAcentral lists this small nuclear RNA (107 nucleotides) under Moschus moschiferus (Siberian musk deer). Lineage: Eukaryota; Metazoa; Chordata; Mammalia; Artiodactyla; Moschidae. The record is from RNAcentral.